GUAUGCGAUCAUACCAGCACUAAAGCACCGGAUCCCAUCAGAACUCUGAAGUUAAGCGUGCUUGGGCGAGAGUAGUACUAGGAUGGGCGACCUCCUGGGAAGUCCUCGUGUUGCAUUCC
Molecule: ribosomal RNA, 119 nt
Filed under: Triticum aestivum (bread wheat)
Lineage: Eukaryota; Viridiplantae; Streptophyta; Magnoliopsida; Poales; Poaceae
Source: RNAcentral